This 276-nucleotide ribosomal RNA is filed under the name uncultured prokaryote. Its description in RNAcentral is "partial 16S ribosomal RNA". It matches the Rfam family "Bacterial small subunit ribosomal RNA", at positions 524 to 801 of the family's 1533-position model. The record is from RNAcentral.
UACGUAGGGGCUAGCGUUAUCCGGAAUUACUGGGCGUAAAGGGUGCGUAGGUGGUUUCUUAAGUCAGAGGUGAAAGGCUACGGCUCAACCGUAGUAAGCCUUUGAAACUGAGAAACUUGAGUGCAGGAGAGGAGAGUAGAAUUCCUAGUGUAGCGGUGAAAUGCGUAGAUAUUAGGAGGAAUACCAGUUGCGAAGGCGGCUCUCUGGACUGUAACUGACACUGAGGCACGAAAGCGUGGGGAGCAAACAGGAUUAGAUACCCCUGUAGUCCCUGAG